UUUCAUUUUUUUUCCUCCGCAGUCUAUUGGGUCUGACUCCUUAUUUUGUCCGAACGUUUGGCAUUAUUGAGCCCUUACCGAUAUAGAGCGUGGUAUAGUUUAUUCGAAACGCUGUGUGUCUUUUAUUUUUCUCCCGACUUUAGGGUUUCCAUCGAUUCACUCAUCUUCUUCCUCCUGACCCUGCAAGCAAUCGGCGCCGCAGCGAAUCUAGGAUUUCCAGCGAUCUAUUCAUCUUCUUCCUACUGAUCCAGUGGUCAAUCGGUUACGGAUCCACUACUAUUAAAUUCCUUAUUAAAUCAACCGUACACGAUCUCUCUUCAAUGCCACUUUUGCUCUUCAAAGGCGGUUGAGGUUUGACUAUAAAAGUCCGAAAGAUGUUCUUCCACAGUUGAGGUUAGGUUAUUGUGUUUCUAGGAGGCGAGGAAUAUCAGGCGCUGGGAUGAACUGAUGUAUGUCGGUAUGCUCUUGCUUGAUUCGAAUGGAUGUGUAUGUGACUUUUAGUUUGAGUGCGUGGUGAUCCAAGGGUUGUUAUUGCGACAAGCUUAAAUCCCUAAAAUAUUCGGAGGUAUUUAGUUAUUAUUUAAAUUUAAAGAAUGUCUUAUCUGUUUCUAACAAGAGCUCCGGUGUUUGUUAGUACCUUUGUCGAACUUUUUCAUGCA
Molecule: long non-coding RNA, 659 nt
Organism: Brassica oleracea var. oleracea
Lineage: Eukaryota; Viridiplantae; Streptophyta; Magnoliopsida; Brassicales; Brassicaceae
Exons: 3
Source: RefSeq, a predicted model, not a curated record